AGUGAACGCUGGCGGUAGGCCUAACACAUGCAAGUCGAACGGCAGCACAGUAAGAGCUUGCUCUUACGGGUGGCGAGUGGCGGACGGGUGAGGAAUACAUCGGAAUCUACUUUUUCGUGGGGGAUAACGUAGGGAAACUUACGCUAAUACCGCAUACGACCUACGGGUGAAAGCAGGGGAUCUUCGGACCUUGCGCGAUUGACUGAGCCGAUGUCGGAUUAGCUAGUUGGCGGGGUAAAGGCCCACCAAGGCGACGAUCCGUAGCUGGUCUGAGAGGAUGAUCAGCCACACGGGAACUGAGACACGGUCCAGACUCCUACGGGAGGCAGCAGUGGGGAAUAUUGGACAAUGGGCGCAAGCCUGAUCCAGCCAGACCGCGUGGGUGAAGAAGGCCUUCGGGUUGUAAAGCCCUUUUGUUGGGAAAGAAAAGCAGCAGGUUAAUACCCCGCUGUUCUGACGGUACCCAAAGAAUAAGCACCGGCUAACUUCGUG
This 492-nucleotide ribosomal RNA is filed under the name uncultured bacterium. RNAcentral's name for it is "partial 16S ribosomal RNA". It matches the Rfam family "Bacterial small subunit ribosomal RNA", at positions 29 to 507 of the family's 1533-position model. The record is from RNAcentral.